UGCUGGCUUAGGUUCUAUACAGAGCUGUCUUUACAUUGCAUUUCUUUCUUUUUGAUAGUCUAGCUCCACAGUGAGAGCCUAUCAAACCAGUAAAUCUCGAGUGACCAUGAGCCCUGGCUUCAGCUCCCAAUGGAACAGCAGCCAACCCGCCUGGAAUACGUACUCCUUUCCAAGAGCAAGCUUGCACUAUCAAUCCCACGCCAGCUAUACCUACUGCACUGGGCACCCUGCUGGAACUACAUCAAAUUUCCAACAACUUCCUAUGACCUGAGAGCCAUGAAGUGUCUGGGGAUCAUGUUCACGGUGCUCCCUGAACCCAGACCCACCGUGGACAGAGACAAGCGUUUCUUUGGGAAUUAUAUAGAAGACAUUAGAAAAGGUGCCAAGUCUCCUUUGCUCCUACACAAGGACUUUGUGUUCAAGGAAACCCAGCAACUUUGGAAAUAAAUGGAAAACAUUUCAAGGAGUACUGAAAACCGACAGUUUUCAGAGAAAUAAUGACCAGAUCUUCAGCUUCCAUGACUUUUCUUUUGUAAACAGAUUGCCCUAUAAAUUACCCAUAUUCCAAUAGCUGGAUUACCAUCUAGCCUAAUUUUCCUGGUUUAUGUUUAUUUCUUACAGUUGUUAUCAACUAGCGUUCCCUUUUGCUUUCAAAAAUGUUCAAGUUGAGAAGGUAUUUUCUAUGG
This 686-nucleotide long non-coding RNA is filed under the name Bos indicus x Bos taurus (hybrid cattle). Its description in RNAcentral is "lncRNA (ENSBIXG00005017544.1)". Lineage: Eukaryota; Metazoa; Chordata; Mammalia; Artiodactyla; Bovidae. The record is from RNAcentral.